CUCCCUAUAGCACAAUGGCAGUGCACAGGACUGUAGAUCCUAGGAUGGCGGUUCGAUUCCGCCUAGGUAGA
This 71-nucleotide transfer RNA is filed under the name Paramecium tetraurelia. RNAcentral's name for it is "tRNA-Tyr for anticodon GUA". It matches the Rfam family "tRNA". From Rfam's summary of the family: Transfer RNA (tRNA) molecules are approximately 80 nucleotides in length. Their secondary structure includes four short double-helical elements and three loops (D, anti-codon, and T loops). The record is from Rfam by way of RNAcentral. Lineage: Eukaryota; Ciliophora; Oligohymenophorea; Peniculida; Parameciidae.